RNAcentral lists this transfer-messenger RNA (354 nucleotides) under Kiritimatiellia. RNAcentral's name for it is "RUG572 sp902763655 Standard tmRNA". It matches the Rfam family "transfer-messenger RNA". From Rfam's summary of the family: Bacterial tmRNA, also known as 10Sa RNA or SsrA, is named for its dual tRNA and mRNA-like properties. Its role is to liberate the mRNA from a stalled ribosome. RNAcentral also lists the same sequence under 1 other name. The record is from RNAcentral. Lineage: Bacteria; Pseudomonadati; Kiritimatiellota.
GGGGGUGAUUUGGUUUCGACGGGACGAGUGGAGACCAGAUUGCGCGCCGAGGACCCCUGUUGGCCUCGUUAAAAAACAGGGAAAAAAAGUAAUUGCGAACAACGAUUACGCUCUGGCGGCCUAACUAAUCGGCCACCGGCCAACCCGCGGACGCCUGCUAGGCGGCGAGGCCUCAUCCAGCAGGUCCCCGUGCGGGGUUUGACGUCUGGACGCCGCACGCUGUACAAUCGGACGCAUGUCGCCGGAUAAGCCCGGGCAUCGGCAUACCGGCGACGAGAUCAAAGGUGCAAUACGCGCGUAGAAGUUUGGCCAAAGCCGUUUCGGACGCGGGUUCGACUCCCGCCACCUCCACCA